This 73-nucleotide transfer RNA is filed under the name Candidatus Sungiibacteriota bacterium. Its description in RNAcentral is "tRNA-Arg". It matches the Rfam family "tRNA". From Rfam's summary of the family: Transfer RNA (tRNA) molecules are approximately 80 nucleotides in length. Their secondary structure includes four short double-helical elements and three loops (D, anti-codon, and T loops). The record is from RNAcentral. Lineage: Bacteria; Candidatus Sungiibacteriota.
GUGCCCAUAGCUCAGUGGAUAGAGCGCAGCCCUGCGGAGGCUGAGGUCGGGGGUUCAAAUCCUCCUGGGCACG